RNAcentral lists this ribosomal RNA (820 nucleotides) under uncultured Anaerovibrio sp. RNAcentral's name for it is "bacterial SSU rRNA". It matches the Rfam family "Bacterial small subunit ribosomal RNA", at positions 37 to 841 of the family's 1533-position model. Lineage: Bacteria; Bacillati; Bacillota; Negativicutes; Selenomonadales; Selenomonadaceae. The record is from RNAcentral.
UGUGCCGGGGUGCUUAACCAUGCAAGUCGAACGGAGAUUCAGCAAUGGAUCUUAGUGGCAAACGGGUGAGUAACGCGUAGGCAAUCUGCCUUCUAGAUGGGGACAACAUCCCGAAAGGGGUGCUAAUACCGAAUGUUGUAAUUGGUUCGCAUGGACUAGCUACUAAAGGUGGCCUCUGAAUAUGCUACCGCUAGAAGAUGAGCCUGCGUCUGAUUAGCUAGUUGGAGGGGUAACGGCCCACCAAGGCUUCGAUCAGUAGCCGGUCUGAGAGGAUGAACGGCCACACUGGGACUGAGACACGGCCCAGACUCCUACGGGAGGCAGCAGUGGGGAAUCUUCCGCAAUGGACGAAAGUCUGACGGAGCAACGCCGCGUGAGUGAAGAAGGUUUUCGGAUCGUAAAGCUCUUUCGUUAGGGACGAACGUGCUCUUUGUGAAUAAUGAGGAGUAUUGACGGUACCUAAAUAAGAAGCCACGGCUAACUACGUGCCAGCAGCCGCGGUAAUACGUAGGUGGCAAGCGUUGUCCGGAAUUAUUGGGCGUAAAGCGCGCGCAGGCGGGAUAUCAAGUCUGUCUUAAAAGUGCGAGGCUCAACCUCGUGAGGGGACGGAAACUGGUAUUCUUGAGUGUCGGAGAGGAAAGUGGAAUUCCAAGUGUAGCGGUGAAAUGCGUAGAGAUUUGGAAGAACACCAGUGGCGAAGGCGACUUUCUGGACGAUGUCUGACGCUGAGGCGCGAAAGCUAGGGGAGCGAACGGGAUUAGAUACCCCGGUAGUCCUAGCCGUAAACGAUGGGUACUAGGUGUAGGGGUAUCGACCCCUC